CCAGGCCCCGGGCCAGGCCGCCCUGAACGGCUCCGUGCGGGGCGGCCCUGGCGCAGUUCCCGCUGCCGGGAUCUUGCAGCUGCCGGCGCUUCCCUUAGAGACCCCCGUGCUCCUCGGGGGCAGCCAGAACUCUGCGCGGACGCCUCUGCCGGGAACGGCUUGGCCCCGCGCCGGGCUGCCCCAGGCCUGGGCCUCUUCCUGCCCGUUCCCCCUCCGCUCUCUCCUGGAGCGUGUUUGUGUGUGGGGCGUCUGGAAGACCCCUGCUAUCUGAGAACGUGCACAAAGCGCAGCUCGGUUUCACGUAGGAUGCCAUUCCUUGGCCUCGUGUCAGGCUGAGAUGAAGCACUGUCCAGACGAACUCCUGGUUUACAACAUCUGCCGUGACCUUAAUGGUUUCCCACCGCCUCCUGAUCUCUUCUGUCUCGCUUCCAGUCCCGAGGGCAGCGCCUGUGAGAUGGACAGCACCUUGCCAGCGGUAGCAGAGGAGCUGCUGAAAGAGAUCAAAAAGGCUUUUCAGGAGACCUCGCACGUCCCUGAUGACCUGCUGCUGGGGCUGAAGUUCAUAUUUGGCCCAUCUGCUGUCCCAGCCUUGGAUUUGGUGGAUCACCGUUCUGUCACCCGCGUCGUGUCCCCGAGUGGAAGGACAGCGUAUCAGGUUCUUGGGAGCUCAGGCAAACUCUACACCUGCUACAGUUCCUGCCACUUCUGCACGUGUCCCGCUUUUGGUUUUACUGUACUGCAGAAGAGUGAGAGCCUUCUGUGCAAACAUAUACUUGCCGUCUACCUCAGCCAGGCCAUGGGAGCCUGUCAGGAGCUGACCGUCUCUGAGGAGCAGCUCACGAGCAUCUUACUGGCUGAGGAAGAGGAUGAAGGAUGAAGGACUUGGAUCACGUGCAGAUGUGAUUUCCGUGUACCUCCUGGCUGCACAGCCAGCAUUCUUCCUGUCUACAAGGCUGUCAAAUGUCCAUUGCAGCUGCUAGGCUUAUUCCCGUGCUGUAACCAAGCGUGACUUAAUUAGCAGCUUUGCACCGAUGGAUUACACAAUAAAUGCACAAAACAAGCACCAGUGCUGCCGUGCUGCCUGAGAUCACACACCAGACAGCACACCCUGGCAGGACAUGUUAAAUGAAUCAUAAACUGCACUUUGGAGGGAAGAAAGAAAAAAAGAAAA
Numida meleagris (helmeted guineafowl) is the source of this 1171-nucleotide RNA transcript. It is a transcript of the gene named zinc finger SWIM-type containing 7, with no coding region annotated. The transcript is spliced from 6 exons. The record is from RefSeq and is a predicted model, not a curated record. NCBI's taxonomy places the organism in Eukaryota, Metazoa, Chordata, Aves, Galliformes, Numididae.